AGAGGAACUUACGACAAGCCAGCUACUUCCGCUGUUGCUCUGGACACCAGAAAAACCAAUGCUGGUCUUAAUCUCUUUCCACCAGCACCAAAAAUUUGUUCUGCGGCAGAUACUAAAACUGGAUUUUCUGCACCAAUAAGCUAUUGA
Molecule: ribosomal RNA, 147 nt
Filed under: Triticum aestivum (bread wheat)
Lineage: Eukaryota; Viridiplantae; Streptophyta; Magnoliopsida; Poales; Poaceae
Description: partial small subunit ribosomal RNA
Source: RNAcentral